Molecule: long non-coding RNA, 770 nt
Filed under: Brassica rapa (field mustard)
Lineage: Eukaryota; Viridiplantae; Streptophyta; Magnoliopsida; Brassicales; Brassicaceae
Description: long non-coding RNA (BRAP_LNC007025)
Source: RNAcentral
UUUCCCAGUUCGACUAAUGAGAAAGGUCGUACUGGUUACUCCGGUACGCAUCAAUCAGACAAUCACUCUGUCUUUAAUUUUUUUUUAAAAAAUUGGAUUUUUAUAAUGUUUGUUGAGUGAAAAAUUUGUAGGUGUAGCAACGUUCUGCAGGGUGAAGUCACUAUCUUAAUUAGAUGAAGCAAUGUUGCCUAAGGCCGUUGACGUUGUAAGUCACUAUCUUAAUUAGGAUAAUACGAUGGAUGCUUGUGUUGAAUGCUUCUGAUGAAUGGUUGUGAUGUUUUAGUGUUACAUUAAGAUGAAGACUUUGAACCCUAUUACUAUUGAGAUGUGGUUAAGUUAGGACAAACUCUUUGUUUUCUACAGAGAGCUAUGGCACGCUUGUGCUGUUCCUCUCGUGACAGUCCCUUGUUUGUUGCUGGUCUCUUCCUUUUGCUCUGUUCUUGAGUUUUAAUCUUUAUCAUAUAUCAUCAGAAACUGCUACUAGUUUCUCUGUCAUUAGUAUAUGUUUCUCUCUUUUGCUCUUGCAGCGUUCUUAAUUUCUUAUUCAAUGCUCCAUGAAACAAGAUGGUCACUUGUAGGUUGGUUAAUCUCGCCUUGUCAAGCCGGAAGAAGAGAGAGCGGUGACAAGGUGAAGCCGGAAGUGGAGACAACGGUGAAGCUACGGCUGAGGCGGUGAAGCCGAGGAGUACAGACGGAAGUUGGGCUAGUAUCAUUUUCUGGUUUUGAUUGUUUGGUCUCUGAAGUUAUAUCAUUCAUAAGAGUGAUUAGGA